AGAGUUUGAUCAUGGCUCACAACGUACGCUGGCGGCACGCCUAACACAUGCAAGUCGAACGAAGUAGCAAUACUUAGUGGCAGACGGGUGAGUAACAUGUGGGUAUCUGCCCUUUGGCCUGGAAUAACACGAGGAAACUUGUGCUAAUACCGGAUAAGUCUUUACAGAGAAAGCUUUAUGCACCAUUGGAUGAGCCCGCACUUGAUUAGUUUGUUGGUGGGGUAAUGGCCUACCAAGACUUUGAUCAAUAGCUGAUUUGAGAGGAUGAUCAGCCACAUUGGGACUGAGACACGGCCCAAACUCCUACGGGAGGCAGCAGUGGGGAAUCUUGCACAAUGGAGGAAACUCUGAUGCAGCGAUGCCGCGUGAGUGAAGAAGGCCCUUGGGUUGUAAAGCUCUUUCGUCGGGGAAGAAAAUGACUGUACCCGAAUAAGAAGGUCCGGCUAACUUCGUGCCAGCAGCCGCGGUAAUACGAAGGGACCUAGCGUAGUCCGGAAUUACUGGGCUUAAAGAGUUCGUAGGUGGUUGAAAAAGUUGGUGGUGAAAUCCCAGAGCUUAACUCUGGAACUGCCAUCAAAACUUUUCAGCUAGAGUUUGAUAGAGGAAAGCAGAAUUUCUAGUGUAGAGGUGAAAUUCGUAGAUAUUAGAAAGAAUACCAAUUGCGAAGGCAGCUUUCUGGAUCAUUACUGACACUGAGGAACGAAAGCAUGGGUAGCGAAGAGGAUUAGAUACCCUCGUAGUCCAUGCCGUAAACGAUGUGUGUUAGACGUUGGAAAUUUAUUUUCAGUGUCGCAGCGAAAGCGAUAAACACACCGCCUGGGGAGUACGACCGCAAGGUUAAAACUCAAAUGAAUUGACGGGGACCCGCACAAGUAGUGGAGCAUGUGGUUUAAUUCGAAGAUACGCGCAGAACCUUACCAACACUUGACAUGUUCGUCGCGACUUUAAGAGAUUAAAGUUUUCGGUUCGGCCGGACGAAACACAGGUGCUGCAUGGCUGUCGUCAGCUCGUGUCGUGAGAUGUUGGGUUAAGUCCCGCAACGAGCGCAACCCUCACUUUUAGUUGCCAUCAUUUAGUUGGGCACUCUGAAAGAACUGCCAGUGAUAAGCUGGAGGAAGGUGGGGAUGACGUCAAGUCCUCAUGGCCCUUACGUGUUGGGCUACACACGUGCUACAAUGGUAUCUACAACAGGAAGCAAAACAGCGAUGUUAAGCAAAUCCUUAAAAGAUACCUCAGUUCGGAUUGCACUCUGCAACUCGAGUGCAUGAAGCUGGAAUUACUAGUAAUCGUGGAUCAGCGUGCCACGGUGAAUGCGUUCCC
Molecule: ribosomal RNA, 1320 nt
Filed under: uncultured bacterium
Lineage: Bacteria
Description: bacterial SSU rRNA
Rfam family: Bacterial small subunit ribosomal RNA
Source: RNAcentral